UCCGGCUUGUCACCGGCAGUUUCUCCAGAGUGCCCAGCUCAACCUGAUGGCAACUGAAGAUGGGGGUUGCGCUCGUUGCGGGACUUAACCCAACAUCUCACGACACGAGCUGACGACAGCCAUGCAGCACCUGUGUUCCGGCCAGCCGAACUGAAGGACCGCGUCUCCACGGCUUCACCCCGCAUGUCAAGCCCUGGUAAGGUUCUUCGCGUUGCGUCGAAUUAAGCCACAUGCUCCGCCGCUUGUGCGGGCCCCCGUCAAUUCCUUUGAGUUUCAGCCUUGCGGCCGUACUCCCCAGGCGGGGCACUUACUGCGUUAGCGACGGCACUCAGAGGGUCGCUCCCCCAAGCACCUAGUGCCCAUCGUUUACGGCGUGGACUAC
Molecule: unclassified non-coding RNA, 382 nt
Filed under: uncultured bacterium
Lineage: Bacteria
Description: contains 16S-23S intergenic spacer region
Source: RNAcentral